GACGAACGCUGGCGGCGUGCCUAAUACAUGCAAGUCGAACGAACUCUGGUAUUGAUUGGUGCUUGCAUCAUGAUUUACAUUUGAGUGAGUGGCGAACUGGUGAGUAACACGUGGGAAACCUGCCCAGAAGCGGGGGAUAACACCUGGAAACAGAUGCUAAUACCGCAUAACAACUUGGACCGCAUGGUCCGAGUUUGAAAGAUGGCUUCGGCUAUCACUUUUGGAUGGUCCCGCGGCGUAUUAGCUAGAUGGUGGGGUAACGGCUCACCAUGGCAAUGAUACGUAGCCGACCUGAGAGGGUAAUCGGCCACAUUGGGACUGAGACACGGCCCAAACUCCUACGGGAGGCAGCAGUAGGGAAUCUUCCACAAUGGACGAAAGUCUGAUGGAGCAACGCCGCGUGAGUGAAGAAGGGUUUCGGCUCGUAAAACUCUGUCGUUAAAGAAGAACAUAUCUGAGAGUAACUGUUCAGGUAUUGACGGUAUUUAACCAGAAAGCCACGGCUAACUACGUGCCAGCAGCCGCGGUAAUACGUAGGUGGCAAGCGUUGUCCGGAUUUAUUGGGCGUAAAGCGAGCGCAGGCGGUUUUUUAAGUCUGAUGUGAAAGCCUUCGGCUCAACCGAAAGAAGUGCAUCGGAAACUGGGAAACUUGAGUGCAGAAGAGGAACAGUGGAACUCCAUGUGUAGCGGUGAAAUGCGUAGAUAUAUGGAAGAACACCAGUGGCGAAGGCGGCUGUCUGGUCUGUAACUGACGCUGAGGCUCGAAAGUAUGGGUAGCAAACAGGAUUAGAUACCCUGGUAGUCCAUACCGUAAACGAUGAAUGCUAAGUGUUGGAGGGUUUCCGCCCUUCAGUGCUGCAGCUAACGCAUUAAGCAUUCCGCCUGGGGAGUACGGCCGCAAGGCUGAAACUCAAAGGAAUUGACGGGGGCCCGCACAAGCGGUGGAGCAUGUGGUUUAAUUCGAAGCUACGCGAAGAACCUUACCAGGUCUUGACAUACUAUGCAAAUCUAAGAGAUUAGACGUUCCCUUCGGGGACAUGGAUACAGGUGGUGCAUGGUUGUCGUCAGCUCGUGUCGUGAGAUGUUGGGUUAAGUCCCGCAACGAGCGCAACCCUUAUUAUCAGUUGCCAGCAUUAAGUUGGGCACUCUGGUGAGACUGCCGGUGACAAACCGGAGGAAGGUGGGGAUGACGUCAAAUCAUCAUGCCCCUUAUGACCUGGGCUACACACGUGCUACAAUGGAUGGUACAACGAGUUGCGAACUCGCGAGAGUAAGCUAAUCUCUUAAAGCCAUUCUCAGUUCGGAUUGUAGGCUGCAACUCGCCUACAUGAAGUCGGAAUCGCUAGUAAUCGCGGAUCAGCAUGCCGCGGUGAAUACGUUCCCGGGCCUUGUACACACCGCCCGUCACACCAUGAGAGUUUGUAACACCCAAAGUCGGUGGGGUAACCUUUUAGGAACCAGCCGCCUAAGGUGGGACAGAUGAUUAGGGUG
Molecule: ribosomal RNA, 1491 nt
Filed under: Lactiplantibacillus pentosus
Lineage: Bacteria; Bacillati; Bacillota; Bacilli; Lactobacillales; Lactobacillaceae
Description: bacterial SSU rRNA
Rfam family: Bacterial small subunit ribosomal RNA
Source: RNAcentral